UGGGCUAUGGCUCAGUGGCAGAGUGCUUGCCUAGCAUGUUUGAGGCACUGAGUUUGAUUCUCAGUACCACAU
Non-coding RNA from Ictidomys tridecemlineatus (thirteen-lined ground squirrel), 72 nucleotides. NCBI's taxonomy places the organism in Eukaryota, Metazoa, Chordata, Mammalia, Rodentia, Sciuridae. The record is from Rfam.